GUCUUUUUUUUUUUUUUUUUUGUUUUUUUCUGUUUUCCGAAAUCUUGAAUGACACAUAUCUCGAAUCUGAAUUCUGAUUAUCAUAAUAUUUCACAUAUCUGAAGUAUUUUUGUUUCGCAACGUCAUACAAAUUGAUCGCAUCAUUCGCAUGUUCGGCUGUUCGCAUCAUUCGUCAUUUCGUCUGCUGUGGCGUGGUUUGGUCUGAUCUGGUCUGUUAGUAUGGUUUCUUACAACAACAACUGGGAAGAGUAAUGCAGCAAGAAAGUAAAAAGUGAUAAAAUUGCAGUUUGAAUCUGGUUCAGAAAUGGACACAUGAAGAUCCUCAAGUUUAAAUUUAACUAGAAAGAGCUUGUGGGAUACAGGCUAAAGAUGAAAUACAAGAUUGGUGUUGACCAAAGCAAUCAGCAGUAUAUAAUGUGAUUCAAGAGAAUUGAUCGUAACAUGGUGUAUCCAAACCAACCAAAGUUGUAACUAGACAGCUUUAGACAAGUUCGUCUUCAUUGAAAGUCAAAUCAAGCUUCCACAAAUUGCAGCUCAUGGACAUUGUGUUGACUCCACCCAAGUUGUAAAACCAGAGAAAGAAUUUCUCAUUCUCAUGCAGUGGCAAUAGUUGAAGAAAAGUUGUCCGAAGAUCUAAAUGACACAGAAUUUUACACUUGCAAUUUCAAGCAACUGUUGGGCUUCGGUAACCAAGUUUGAAAGGGAUUUCAAUAGAUUUGAAUAAAGAAAAUUCAAAACGUUUGAGAAAGAGCUGAAACACGAAAAAUCCAAUGGGUCAUUACUGGAGUAGAGAUCUCAUUGCUUGGUGCCUACCGUGACUUAUUGGUCUAGCUCUACGACGGUAGAAGAAAAAUGCUGCUGGUGUAGGACGUUGAUAGUGUUGCACUCAUCCCCUGACGGCAGAAGAACAAGAGAUCCAGGUCCUCUAUUUAUUGGCAUCACGCAUCACCCCAUUGAUUUCACGUGACACGAAUCGACACAAAUUGCUGGAUUAGAUUGACGACUCGUUUUUUAUAAAAAAUGGACGACAACGCAAAAGGACCUCAGGCGAGAGACGAUUUUGAAAAUGGUUUAUCCCGACUGCUAAUUCAGACGAAUCUUGAUUUCGAAUUUGAUAACAUUGCUGGACCGUCAAAAGCCUUCCAUUAAUCCCUGCUGAAAGAUGAAACUUUCUUCUGGACCUACGUUAGAAGAAUCUUUGCAGAUCGAUUGCCCUUACCAUGUUAUAGGAUACCAAAGCCCUUCACUAGAACUCGCCCGAAAAAAAAACUGGUCGACUUUGACGAGUCUUUCGCGAAAAUCGAUAGUUUGGCAGCCAUCGUCGCUUCCGCCCGAAUUACAAGAAGUCAUCCUUUUCGAUUUUCUUGAACUACAGGAGAAAAACUGAAGUUUGUCCGAUCCACUUAUCAUAAGCAAAGUGCGAAAUUAUUCACACUCACAUUUCCUAAUCUGAAAUUAAAAACAGAACAAAGCAUUAAUCAGUUUAUCUCUCUUCAUUCCGAUUCCCUCACUACGCUUCUACUCAACUGUCAACACCUUUCAUUCGCAUAGUUGACCAUUUGAAUCUUGAUAUAAUAGUGGUCGCUUCCGUGCCGCUGUUACACACCUGCAGUCACUCACCACGGACUAUGCCCAGUCAAACGUGGUAAUCGUGGAGGAAUCUUUUGGUUCCGUCAGUAGGUGGCUAAAAUCAAGUUGUCCCCCAGCCGCCAGAUGACGCAAGUGUCUUUGAGAGGACGACAUUUGCUCCAUUUUGUUCCGAAACGCCAAGUGAAAAGGUAUUCCAAAUACGUUACGGAAUUGCGGUGUCGAUCUACAUUUUCAGCAUUGAAAUUUAAUGGCAAUCUGGCAUAUAAUUUCCACUUGGCCGAAUAAUCGGUCACGUCUCACGUGGACUGAAACUGCUUUCCAUUUUGCCGAAAUGUCGUCCGUUGUUAGCUGUAACUGUUCGGAUGUACGUCUCAUCUCACGCAGAAACACUACAGAGAUUUUAUUAGUUGGUGUUCAGGUUGGAGAUCCUGUUGCUUAGCUGUGCAGAAUGUGAGAACUCGAAAAUUCUAAGCUCAAUGGCUGGCAUCAUGGCCACAGUGGUGUUGUUGCAGCCAGCUGGUGAAAGGCGAGAUUGAGUCAAGUUGAGCUGCAGCUGCUGCAUGCAGUUUAUCGAGCUGGUGUUAUCUGGAAGUGUCAUUGCAGGAAGACUUUUUGAAAUGGACUUGGUGAUACUUAAACUAUUCCUGUGCUGUUCAAUGUGCAGUGGUUUUGCAGCCUGUUUCCAGUUGAGAGAGGUGAUUAUGAAGCUGGUACAGGAUUGAAGAAAAAGAACUUAAGUAGCUGUGCUGGUGUUCUCCUGAAAUUGCUGUGCCACAGGAGUUGCAGAUAGUGUUUGGUUCCUCAUAGAAGUUUACUUAAAGAGUCUGGAGAUCAGCCACUUCUGCCUAUAACUUGUGUAAAACUUCAAAGUUGUAAAAAAUAUACAAGUCGUGAACUAAA
Molecule: long non-coding RNA, 2490 nt
Organism: Daphnia pulex (common water flea)
Lineage: Eukaryota; Metazoa; Arthropoda; Branchiopoda; Diplostraca; Daphniidae
Exons: 10
Source: RefSeq, a predicted model, not a curated record